UGGCUCGGAUGUGCGGUUUUCUCUCGUGGGUAAAUAAAGUUGAGGGUCCCCUCCUGUUCCAGAGAAGCCUUUACAUUUUCUCUCUGUGAGCUAUUAAUAGCCUCCCUGUCGGUGGUGUUCGACCCUCUUCCCUAUUCCUGCUGGCUUUUCAGUUGGGCUUUGCUUAAGGUGAUGACGAUUGCAUUGUUUAAAGGUUCCGUUUUUAUAUCGUCCUAUUUAUCCAUUUAAAGAAGAUAUCGUUUCCAUUUUGAGCCGAAAGGGCUUAUGAAAUAAUUUCCUAAAUCUUCCUCUAGGUCGUCGUCUUCUUCUCCCUCAACAUCUACAUCGUCCAGCCGGGAGGUGCUUUCCCGGGGUUGGGUGGUGGUGGUCAGUCGCGCCCGACUCUUGGCGACCCCAUGGGACUGUAGGCCCGCCAAGCUCCUCUGUCCAUGGAAUUUUCCAGGCAAGAAUCCUGGAGCGGGUUGCCAUUUCCUGUUCCUCCUCCAGGGCAUCUUCCCCACGCACGAAUGGAACCCGCGCCUCUUGCGUCUCCCGCAUCUGCAGGCGGAUUCUUGACCACUGCCCCACCUUCCUCUGGAGCACGGUGUGAAUGAGCAAAUUUCCCCUUCAUACCACCUGUUUGAGAUGCCGCCUGUAAGCCUCAACGGCAUCCCAUGUGCAUUUUGGAGUCAUAGGCCUGGACGUGCCUUUAAACUGUAGCAGAACUCACGGACCUAACUACCUUUGAUACGCCGAGGCCCCGGGUUGACCUCUCCCGUCCGUGCAGACGGUGGGUGGUACACCCAGUCAGACAGAGCCCGACGCUGAGAGGUGACCCUUCAAGGCCAAGUAGGAAUCCCUUACACGAAUGACCCUUCUCCGGAGAACGGAUGCCGGCUCCGGCAGCGACGGGCAAUGUGGAGGGGACCGGCCCUCUGCCCGACCAGGAGUCCGAGGGAUCCUCCCGACCCAGGGAUCGAACCUGCGUCUCCCGCCCUGGCAGGCGGAUUCCUUGCCACCGCGCCACCUGGGAAGCUCUUGAGGGACCUGCUGAGAGGGUGGACGACUCGGUGCGGCUCCCACCUGGUGGGACCUCCUCAGGGCUCCAGGCCUCUCCCGGGUGGCUCGGGAUCCCUACCCGGACACACCCAAUGAGUGACCAGGUGCGAAGGACAGACAGGAAGCCAGCCCAGUCAGGAAGGCCUUCCUGACCCGGGAGACGGCCUCCAGGACAGGCUCCUUCCGUAUCCCAGACUGGGCCGGCUGGGUUCAGCUUCUCUGGGGGGGAACCAGCACGGCCCUGCUGUGCCCCACCUUUACCCAGGCCGGAGCCCUCCUAGCUCAGAUCAAGGCGCUUCUGUGACCCCUCUGUACGGUGCCCGUGUCCAGGCGGCUCUCCUCCCGAGCUUCACCGAGGAGAAAGCAGCUGGUGGUGUGUGACGGAGGGUCUGACUCUGCCUUGAGGUUCUGCCCGAGAGCUGCUAAGCCUCGCCCUUCCCUCGUCCCCUCUCACGCCGGACCCCGGCAAGCUGAUGAGAAAAGCCUCACGCCGGCCGCCCCUCUGCUCAGCACUAUC
Molecule: long non-coding RNA, 1555 nt
Organism: Dama dama (fallow deer)
Lineage: Eukaryota; Metazoa; Chordata; Mammalia; Artiodactyla; Cervidae
Exons: 3
Source: RefSeq, a predicted model, not a curated record